RNAcentral lists this long non-coding RNA (848 nucleotides) under Cricetulus griseus (Chinese hamster). RNAcentral describes it as "lncRNA (ENSCGRG00015036922.1)". Lineage: Eukaryota; Metazoa; Chordata; Mammalia; Rodentia; Cricetidae. The record is from RNAcentral.
AAGGAGCAGUAUGUUCUGGAAUUAAAAUUAACCAGUCAGGGAAAAAAUGGCAAGAGAUAGAAGUGGGGAGAAAUCAGAGCUCACUACCAAAGUCCUAUCCUGUCUAUGAGCAGAGGAACAGAAUAUGCAUCUCAGAAUGACAUCCUGAGAGCAGGAGUUCAGCCUAGAGGAUGGUGCUGCCCACAGUGGGCUGGGUCUUAUGUAUCAGUUAACAAUCAAGACAAUCUUCCACAGACAUGCUCGCAGGUCAAUCUAGACUAUCCUAUCUCAGCUUCACCAAGAGAGAGAGAAAAACAGAGAAGAGGAGGCUGCUGCAUGUGGUUUAGGUGAGUUGCUCACCUAUGUUCAUAGCUCUAGCUAUGAACAUAGUGAGACCACAAGACCAUUCUGUGGCACAAAUCUAGACCUACACUGGGAAAGCCAUGGGUGUCUCGCUGGACUUACAGGUUGAGUGGCUAAUGAGCUUCUCAGGAGAUCAGACUGAAUGAAGUAUGAUAUGUACUUGAGUUAUUACAGGAGGAUCCAAAAGGCCAAUGAUUUCUGUUCACUAUUGAUAAUGAUUAUAUAUAUAUAUAUAUAUAUAUAUUCAUUAUAUAUAUGUUGAUAAUGAAUAUAUAUAUAUAUAUAAUGACAAAUGAAAAGGUUGAUAGCAGUCAUAACUGGGCAGUGCAAACUAAAGUCACAGUGAAAAGCUAUCUAUGGACACCAGACUGGCAGACAUACUAGGGAAGUUGGUGUCAACCUGGGUUACCAAGAAUGCAGACUCUUGGAAUGUACACACAUGGCAUGGGGGAAUGAAAAGUUACUCUGGUAAACAAUCUUUUGGUUUCUUUAAAGGUAAAAAUAAG